CCUACGGGUGGCAGCAGUGAGGAAUAUUGCACAAUGGGGGUAACCCUGAUGCAGCAACGCCGCGUGGGUGAAGGAGCGUUUCGGCGCGGUAAGCCCUGUCUGCGGGGAAGAAGAACGGCGGUACCCGACCAAGAAGCACCGGCUAACUACGAGCCAGCAGCCGCGGUACUACGUAGGGGGCGAGCGUUAUACGGAAUUACUGGGUGUAAAGGGAGCGGAGGGGGGGAGGUAAGCCUGAAGGUGAAGCCCGGGGGCCAACCCCGGAACCGCUGUGGAAACUGGGUUGCUGGAGUAUGGGAGGGGUAAGCGGAAUGCGUGGUGUAGCGGUGAAAUGCGUAGAUAUCAGGAAGAACACCGGUGGCGAAGGCAGCUUACCGGACCCUAACUGACGUUGAGGCUCGAAAGCGUGGGGAUCGAACAGGAUUAGAUACCCCAGUAGUC
RNAcentral lists this ribosomal RNA (441 nucleotides) under uncultured bacterium. Its description in RNAcentral is "partial 16S ribosomal RNA". It matches the Rfam family "Bacterial small subunit ribosomal RNA", at positions 338 to 795 of the family's 1533-position model. The record is from RNAcentral.